This 1619-nucleotide long non-coding RNA is filed under the name Lupinus angustifolius (narrow-leaved blue lupine). RNAcentral's name for it is "long non-coding RNA (LANG_LNC000413)". The record is from RNAcentral. Lineage: Eukaryota; Viridiplantae; Streptophyta; Magnoliopsida; Fabales; Fabaceae.
AAAUAAAUUAGUUCUCAGCUACUACUACACAUUUGCAUAAAGGGAAGAAAGAAGGUGAAGAUGAAGCUAGUGAAGUCAUGGUUUCUUUUGCGCUUCACCUAUUUGCUGCUUCUUUUACUUGCAUUCAUAUGUGAAUUUGGGUAUGUAUAUAUUUACCCUAAUGUAUACUAAGACUAAUAUAAAACCUAAUUUAUUCAUAUAUAAUUAUUAUUCUUGCUUACAUUUUUUAUAGCUCCAAUCAAAUUAAUCUAAAGGUAUUUUGGUAGCAAAAAUAGUUAAUGUAGAUGAUUACUGUUUGUCAUAGGAUAGUAGGGAAUCACAUAUUAAUGCGCCGUAAGUGUAGAGAUAUUUUGUAAAGUUCAUUCAAAACUUAUAAUGUUGAUCUGAAAAUAUAUUCAUCUAGUAAGUUAUUUUUCGUCACAUUUAUACAUUUUCAGGUAAGGUCCUAUGAAAUAAUAUUUAGAUGACAACAAGUUAUUGUAGCUUCUGUAUUCAACCAUAUUUCAAUAAAUACUUAUUCUUUUUUAAUAUAGAUUAUUUGUGUCCUAUUCAUAUAUUAUUAUUGCAUGUUUCAUUCACUUAAAUCUGGAUAUGUGAAUAUUAAUGUACAAUAAGAUUAAAAUGGAGUAUCAUUUUUUACUUGUUGAUAACUCUAAUUGAUAAGACAGAAAGAGAAAAAGAAUAUGAAACAGAUGAUUUGCAUUUAUUGUCUUUAUGUUUCUCACUAUAUCAUUAUUAAUAUUUUCAUAUUUUAAUUUCUAAUUUUAUUUUUAAUUUGUGUAACAAAAUAUUCAUCACACUAUUAAAAAAACAUUCAUUAGUAUAUUAUAACGAUUUUUUUUAAAAACCUAACCUAUUUACAUAUAACCAGACAUGUUUGUUUGACUGUCGUACAAAUAUUAUUUUUAUUAAUGUGAAUUUCAUUUUUAUAUUCAAAUAAAGUAUAUUAACAUACACAAAUUAAUUAAAAUUAUAUAUGAUAAGUUAAUCUUCUACAGGUGAAUUGUACAGACUAAUCAAGAAUAACUUAUUUCAUAUAUUUAUUUAAAAACUGUUUUAUAAACUCUUUUUUUAUCUAGGCAUUUUAAAAAUAAGCUAUCAUUAUGUACCCAAAAAAUAUAAGCUAUCAUUAAACUGUUAGUUGCAUCCAAUAAAAUUUAUGACAUGUAUGGUUUGUUAGAAGAAGAUACCAAACUUAUAUAUCAUUAUUAUUGUUGAUAAAUUAAUCUUAUUUACAAAAGUAUAUCAAGACAUCUAGCAAUUCCUAUAAAGAUUCACCGCAUAUUUAUCAAUUAGAGUUGGCAAAAAAGAAUACCCAAAAAAAUGCCAAAAACAAUAUCUUUUCAUAAUUUUGAAUUCUUUAAUCAAAGUAUUUCCUGAUUUUAUUAUUAAGGUAGAAGACUAAUCUCGUCUAGAUUAAAGAUUAUUCAUUUCUAUAAUUAUUUCUUUUGAAGUCAUGCAGAUUGAAAAGAACGCAAUUUCAACAUAUAAAUUACUCUUACCCCUUUUGACUAGUUUGGAUACAAAAGUCACAAUUCAUAUAUAUAGAGAAUCAUUAUGUGGACACGGCAAAGCGAAAUUAAAUUGUCUUGGUCUCCGCUCCUUAACAAGAUGAAGAC